GGAAAUGUGGCUUAGUGGUAGAGUGCUUGCCUAGCACGCAUGAAGCCCUGGGUUCAACUCCCUAGCACCA
Molecule: transfer RNA, 70 nt
Filed under: Dipodomys ordii (Ord's kangaroo rat)
Lineage: Eukaryota; Metazoa; Chordata; Mammalia; Rodentia; Heteromyidae
Rfam family: tRNA
About the family: Transfer RNA (tRNA) molecules are approximately 80 nucleotides in length. Their secondary structure includes four short double-helical elements and three loops (D, anti-codon, and T loops). Further hydrogen bonds mediate the characteristic L-shaped molecular structure. tRNAs have two regions of fundamental functional importance: the anti-codon, which is responsible for specific mRNA codon recognition, and the 3' end, to which the tRNAs corresponding amino acid is attached (by aminoacyl-tRNA synthetases). tRNAs cope with the degeneracy of the genetic code in two manners: having more than one tRNA (with a specific anti-codon) for a particular amino acid; and 'wobble' base-pairing, i.e. permitting non-standard base-pairing at the 3rd anti-codon position.
Source: Rfam by way of RNAcentral